Molecule: ribosomal RNA, 510 nt
Filed under: uncultured bacterium
Lineage: Bacteria
Description: partial 16S ribosomal RNA
Rfam family: Bacterial small subunit ribosomal RNA
Source: RNAcentral
GACGAACGCUGGCGGCGUGCUUAACACAUGCAAGUCGAACGAAGAGCGAUGGAAGCUUGCUUCUAUCAAUCUUAGUGGCGAACGGGUGAGUAACGCGUAAUCAACCUGCCCUUCAGAGGGGGACAACAGUUGGAAACGACUGCUAAUACCGCAUACGAUCUAACCUCGGCAUCGAGGAAAGAUGAAAGGUGGCCUCUAUGUAUAAGCUAUCACUGAAGGAGGGGAUUGCGUCUGAUUAGCUAGUUGGAGGGGUAACGGCCCACCAAGGCGAUGAUCAGUAGCCGGCCUGAGAGGAUGAACGGCCACAUUGGGACUGAGACACGGCCCAGACUCCUACGGGAGGCAGCAGUGGGGAAUCUUCCGCAAUGGACGAAAGUCUGACGGAGCAACGCCGCGUGAGUGAUGACGGCCUUCGGGUUGUAAAGCUCUGUUAAUCGGGACGAAAGGCCUUCUUGCGAAUAGUGAGAAGGAUUGACGGUACCGGAAUAGAAAGCCACGGCUAACUACGUG